AAAAGAAACAAAAGAUAUACGAACGAACUAAAAAGUCAAAGACACAUAUUACAAAAUUCAAACGUAAAAUCAAAAGUACAAAGCAAAAAGAUUGUUGGCAACAUUUUUAUAAGUAUACAUAUAUACGUAUUAUUAUGAUUUGUAUAUAUUUUUUAUACGAACUCAAAACAACGGAGCCAGAUGCUCGAUUUUGAUACGCAGAAUUGCUCACGUGAUGCUCCGACUCCUACGACGGGUUACACCAUAUCGAGAAGUUAUCCAAUGAGAAAGCCGCUUAAAUUUUGGAGGAUCUAUGAUGGACGACAGAGAAAAAUAACGCUUUGUUUGUGAAAGAUUUUUUGAGCGCAAGCAAGGAUUAUUAAACGAAAAAAAACCAAACUAAAACCAAACCAACUAAGCCCAAAACGACAAAAAAUAAAAUCUUAAAUCGACGAAAAAAAACGAAAUAAAAAUUAAAGACACAUCUCGAACUCAUUCGCAAGUUUUUGAGCCGAAAAACCAAAAAAUAUAAAAAAAAAAGCAUCGAAAACAUUUUUGAAAUCAAAGCGAAAAGAAGCAACAAACUGGAAGGGAAAUUAUAAGAAGACCAGCGAGGAAAUAAAAAUCAAAUCUAAAUAAAAUUAAAUGCAAAGGACAUUCGCAUGUGUGUGGUGGUGGAAAGAAAAUUCAAAACAAAAUUCACAAUUAGAAAACGCAGAAAAAAACGUAGAAAACGCAGACGCAAAAUCAAAGCAAAGAGUGCCAGCCAAGAAUUUUGAACUUUGAACAUUUUCGACCAAAAAAGUUGAGCUACAACAAAAUUUCAACGUUUGGCGCAACACCAACAACAACAACAAACAAACAAGGACAUCAAGGAUUGCAGGAGCGAACGGUUUUGAAGGCGCAGCACACAUCGAUAUCCCCUUCAUACACACACCACUAGGACUUGGACACUUGGACACUGAAUCAGUACCAGAUAGGGAUACGGGCGCAUCUGGAGUUAAAAAAUUUUGAAGGAUUUGCCUAGAUUUGCCACAGGACCUUAAACAAACACGCACACGUCGCGGCGAAUUCGGGCCUCUGGAGAGAAAGGAAACGAAAAAAAAAAGAAGAAAAGCCGAGGAAAGCAGGGGAAAUUCCGGGGUGAGGCCAGCCAAUCCGGGAAAGUCGUCGUUGUCGUCGUCGUUGAGGGGAAAACGCAGAGGCAGAG
Molecule: non-coding RNA, 1189 nt
Organism: Drosophila bipectinata
Lineage: Eukaryota; Metazoa; Arthropoda; Insecta; Diptera; Drosophilidae
Source: RefSeq, a predicted model, not a curated record